RNAcentral lists this ribosomal RNA (254 nucleotides) under uncultured bacterium. RNAcentral describes it as "partial 16S ribosomal RNA". It matches the Rfam family "Bacterial small subunit ribosomal RNA", at positions 524 to 777 of the family's 1533-position model. The record is from RNAcentral.
UACGAAGGGGGCUAGCGUUGCUCGGAAUCACUGGGCGUAAAGGGCGCGUAGGCGGCCAUUCAAGUCGGGGGUGAAAGCCUGUGGCUCAACCACAGAAUUGCCUUCGAUACUGUUUGGCUUGAGUUUGGUAGAGGUUGGUGGAACUGCGAGUGUAGAGGUGAAAUUCGUAGAUAUUCGCAAGAACACCAGUGGCGAAGGCGGCCAACUGGACCAAUACUGACGCUGAGGCGCGAAAGCGUGGGGAGCAAACAGGG